CGGAGGAAAAGAAACCAACAGGGAUUGCCCUAGUAACGGCGAGUGAAGCGGCAACAGCUCAAAUUUGAAAUCUGGCGCAAGCCCGAGUUGUAAUUUGUAGAGGAUGCUUCUAGGUAGCGACCGGUCUAAGUUCCUUGGAACAGGACGUCAUAGAGGGUGAGAAUCCCGUAUGUGACCGGCCCGCACCUUCUACGUAGCUCCUUCGACGAGUCGAGUUGUUUGGGAAUGCAGCUCUAAAUGGGAGGUAAAUUUCUUCUAAAGCUAAAUACCGGCCAGAGACCGAUAGCGCACAAGUAGAGUGAUCGAAAGAUGAAAAGCACUUUGGAAAGAGAGUUAAAAAGCACGUGAAAUUGUUGAAAGGGAAGCGCUUACAACCAGACUUCUGGGCGGUGUUCCGCCGGUCUUCUGACCGGUCUACUCACCGUCCCGAGGCCAACAUCAUCUGGGACCGCCGGAUAAGACCUCAGGAAUGUAGCUCCCCUCGGGGAGUGUUAUAGCCUGUGGUGAUGCGGCGCGUCUCGGGUGAGGUCCGCGCUUCGGCAAGGAUGUUGGCGUAAUGGUUGUCAGCGGCCCGUCUUGAAACACGGACCAAGGAGUCUAACAUCUAUGCGAGUGUUCGGGUGUCAAACCCCUACGCGUAAUGAAAGUGAACGGAGGUGGGAAGGGUAACCUGCACCAUCGACCGAUCCUGAUGUCCUCGGAUGGAUUUGAGUAAGAGCAUAGCUGUUGGGACCCGAAAGAUGGUGAACUAUGCCUGAAUAGGGUGAAGCCAGAGGAAACUCUGGUGGAGGCUCGCAGCGGUUCUGACGUGCAAAUCGAUCGUCAAAUUUGGGUAUAGGGGCGAAAGACUAAUCGAACCAU
This 861-nucleotide ribosomal RNA is filed under the name Ramularia pratensis var. pratensis. Its description in RNAcentral is "eukaryotic LSU rRNA". It matches the Rfam family "Eukaryotic large subunit ribosomal RNA", at positions 51 to 943 of the family's 3401-position model. The record is from RNAcentral. Lineage: Eukaryota; Fungi; Ascomycota; Dothideomycetes; Mycosphaerellales; Mycosphaerellaceae.